CUUUGGUUGAUGAUGAUGACGACAUGACUUGCUCAUAUUCAAUCUGCGAGCUUCCUACCUCUUCCAUACCAUAAACUUCAAGUAUGCUCGAGGUCGAUGUUUCUUGGUUAUCCUUAGUUCCUAUAAAGUAUUCAGAAUAUUCGCGGUCUGUAUGCACAUCCUACAACAAUGAUCGCCUCCCUCCUAUAAGCCAACAACUCAUCCUGAUAUCUAGAUCUAGCUCUAUGGUCCUUGUCCUACCAACAACUCCUCAUCAUAACAUGACUUGCUCAAAUUCUAAUUUGCUUCUCUGAGCUUCCUGUCCCUUCCAUAACAUAAACUUCAAGUAUGCUCGAUGUUGAUGUUCCUUGGUUAUCCUGAGUUCCUGAAAAUGUUCCAGAAUAUCUAUGGUCUGUGUGCACGUCCCAUAACAAUUAUAGCAUCCUUCCUAUAAGCCAGCAACUCCUCAUCCUAAUAUCUAGAUCUAGAUCUACCUUGACCAUCAUUGUCAUCAGAUCCAUCAUUACUCAUACUAUCACUAUUGUCAAUGCUAUUAUUGGGAGGUGAUAUAGGUAAUCCAAGUUUUGAGGGUCGGGCAUCUCACUACCAUCAUCCCGAACUAUAAAUCAUCAAUUGCCACUAAUGGCUCGAUUAUCAUCUUCUUUGAUUUGGACUUUUGAUGCUUCUCAACCACACCUCCUUGACACCCUUUCAAGCCUUGAUUGGCCUUUAUCUAUUGGCAUGCCCAACCUCUACUACUGCUCUUAAUGCCCUUGCUAUCUCUAAAGGACCGUGUAUGAUGUCUCUACGAUCAUAUCAUUGAUCAAAAUCCUCAAAUCGACUAUUACCUGAUUCACCAUCACCUCCUCCAACAUCUUGUAUUCUACUAUGAAUAAGGGAUAAGUGAGAAAUCAUCCAUUGGUCCACAUCUCGUAUCCUUGCCUGUUGGGCUAUUAUUCUGCAUAGUCGAGAAGAUCUCCUAACCUACUUAACACCAGUGGAUUCUGUGCCUCUUGAUCUGCAACCCAUCCUUGCAUAGGGUCUACUGAUCCUAGCCUACUGCUUGAUUCAUCAUCACCUCCUCCAACAUCUUGCAUUCUACCAUGAAUAGGGGAUAAGUGAGAAAUCAUCCAUCGGUCCACAUUUUGUAUCCUUGCCUCUUGUGCUAUUAUUUUACAUAGUCGAGAAGAUCUCUUGGCCUACUCAACACCAGUGGAUCCUGUGCUUCUUGAUCUACAACCCAUCUUUACAUAGGGUCAAUUGGUCAUGGACAAAAUAUUUUUUGAAUGGGGCAUCUUGCUUAGGCUCUUUACCCUCAUUCACACACUUCAGCCACAUAUUG
Molecule: long non-coding RNA, 1321 nt
Filed under: Elaeis guineensis (African oil palm)
Lineage: Eukaryota; Viridiplantae; Streptophyta; Magnoliopsida; Arecales; Arecaceae
Description: long non-coding RNA (EGUI_LNC082098)
Source: RNAcentral